GUCGCACCAGCCUGCCAGUACUGAUUCGCCACAAAAAGCAAAAACAAUGGUCCACAGGUCAGGCUGUGACUGCUGCCUGGAGCAGGCGACACUCAGAGACGGCCUAAAAUGGUGGGUCUCCCUGGAGCGCUGACAUGACGCUGACAGGUGGGAACAUCAGGGCAGAUAAAGCCAAGAAGAUGGGUCUAGUGCACCGGCUUGUGGACCCUCUGGCCUGCAGAGGAGAGGAGAGGACUAUUGAAUACCUGGAGGAAGUUGCAGUGGGCGUGGCCAAGGGAGUCGUCAACAAGCAGGUUCUUUUUACAACGGAGAAGAGCCUCAUGCAGAGUGAGUGAAGCCUGGUUCACACUAGCCCUGAUCUCAC
Molecule: long non-coding RNA, 364 nt
Organism: Sebastes umbrosus (honeycomb rockfish)
Lineage: Eukaryota; Metazoa; Chordata; Actinopteri; Perciformes; Sebastidae
Exons: 3
Source: RefSeq, a predicted model, not a curated record